This is a non-coding RNA of Sesamum indicum (sesame), 176 nucleotides long. The record is from RefSeq and is a predicted model, not a curated record. Lineage: Eukaryota; Viridiplantae; Streptophyta; Magnoliopsida; Lamiales; Pedaliaceae.
GAUGUUCAAUGAAGGGAAAUGUUUGCGAGUGGACUGGAGGGGCCCAUUCCCUUAAACAUAUCUCUUUUGAAUAUGUUAACUGACUUGAGAAUCAGUGACCUAAAAGGGCCAGCCCAAGAAUUUCCAGUUCUAAGGAGCACUCCGGGCCUUGUAACAUUGAUAUUAAGAAACUGUAA